This 89-nucleotide ribosomal RNA is filed under the name Vigna angularis (adzuki bean). Lineage: Eukaryota; Viridiplantae; Streptophyta; Magnoliopsida; Fabales; Fabaceae. The record is from RNAcentral.
AGGUGCGAUCAUACCAGCACUAAUGCACCGGAUCCGGCGAGACUAGUACUAGGAUGGGUGACCUCCGGGAAGUCCUCGUGUUGCUUUUU